This is a long non-coding RNA of Ananas comosus (pineapple), 688 nucleotides long. RefSeq lists it as uncharacterized. The record is from RefSeq and is a predicted model, not a curated record. Lineage: Eukaryota; Viridiplantae; Streptophyta; Magnoliopsida; Poales; Bromeliaceae. The transcript is spliced from 2 exons.
CGGGCCGGGCUUGGAUAUCCUCUAGGCCCGGCACGGCCCAGGCCUAUGUCGUGCCGGGCCGUGCCGGGCCAUCGGGCCGCGGGAGCAAGGCCCAGCACGACCCGAUUUAACUGGCCGGGCCGGGCCGGCACGGCACGCUACAGUACUCGUGCCGUGCCUGGCCCGGCCCACUCUCGUGCCAGGCCGGGCGGGCCGCGGGCCGCCCAGCCCGUUUGACACCCCUAGGUACCAUACAGCAAUGAGGCGUUAAGAUUGAUUCGCACUAUCUGGAGUGCUUUAUUUGCCACGAGCCCGUUGGCCCUUCUCUCAUACAGAGCGGAGCUCCAAAGGGCUCGAGGCAUAUAAAGCACUCCAGAUAGUGCAAAUCAAUCUUAACGCUUCGUUGCUGGAUCUACCCUUCCGAACGAGCCUCCUCAUCCUCGCAGUCUCCUUCGGCAGUCUCCUCCUCCUCGCAGUCUCCUUCGGCAAUCUCCCCUGGCCUAUACCUGUUAGCGUCGGCUACGUGCGCGUGGAAUUGCAGAGAAACUUCGAUGAUUACAUACUUUUCUUAAUUAAUUAUUAUGAAGAGUUUGUUAUAGUUGAUGUAAUAGAAUGUUACAUUGUAUGCAAAUCCUGUUUGUAUUUUGCAAAGUACUAUAAAAUCGUGUAUUCGGCUUUAAAGAUAAUGUAAUUCUUGUUCACAUGUUAA